Loxodonta africana (African savanna elephant) is the source of this 107-nucleotide small nuclear RNA. The record is from Ensembl. Lineage: Eukaryota; Metazoa; Chordata; Mammalia; Proboscidea; Elephantidae.
GUGUUCACUUCUGCAGCAUAUACAUAUUAUAAUUGGAAUGAUUCAGAGAAGAUUAACAUGGCUUCUGCACAAGGAUGACACAAAUUUGUGAAGCAUUUCAUAAUUUU